Molecule: long non-coding RNA, 362 nt
Organism: Alligator sinensis (Chinese alligator)
Lineage: Eukaryota; Metazoa; Chordata; Crocodylia; Alligatoridae
Exons: 3
Source: RefSeq, a predicted model, not a curated record
GUUUGGCCUGCUUACGUCGGACCACCAAGCUGUGCUCUGGAGUCAUAAGGCCAAUCUAGGAAAAGACUGAAAUGUGAAGUCAGAUGCUGGCAUGCUUCAGUACCAUACGUCUGCUCAGUCUUUGGAGAGAAAUGCGAGUGUGUGGGUGGCAAAAGAAACAACAGCCAAAGCUAAUGUGGAAUGGUGGGCAGCAGAACUUCAGAGAAGUAACACAAGAACAUGGUGAUGGAGAAAGAAUACCUGUGCAGGAAAGGAAGCAAGAAAAGAGUGAAGAUGUGGGGAGACUGGAAAACAAUAUAGGUUAUUAUUGCUGAUGUUAAGAACUGGUGCUUGGAUUGAUGGAAGCAGUUUCAUUUCUAUUA